AUGAGAGUUUGAUCCUGGCUCAGAACGAACGCUGGCGGCAGGCCUAACACAUGCAAGUCGGACGAGAAGGUACCUUCGGGUACUGGAGAGUGGCGCACGGGUGAGUAACGCGUGGGGACCUACCUCUUAGUGGGGGAUAACGGUUGGAAACGACCGCUAAUACCGCAUACGCCCUUCGGGGGAAAGAUUUAUCGCUAAGAGAUGGACCCGCGUUGGAUUAGAUAGUUGGUGAGGUAACGGCUCACCAAGUCAGCGAUCCAUAGCUGGUUUGAGAGGAUGAUCAGCCACACUGGGACUGAGACACGG
This 306-nucleotide ribosomal RNA is filed under the name uncultured Vexilliferidae. RNAcentral describes it as "partial Bacterial small subunit ribosomal RNA". It matches the Rfam family "Bacterial small subunit ribosomal RNA", at positions 1 to 329 of the family's 1533-position model. The record is from RNAcentral. Lineage: Eukaryota; Discosea; Flabellinia; Dactylopodida; Vexilliferidae.